UUCAAGUCCGUCACUCCCCUUCCUUUCCUCUAGGGCGGGAGCUACACAGGAAGUGCCUCUUUCACUGUGGGGUUAUUGACAGGUACUGGAUUCGCCUCGGCGCCAUCUCUUUUUAGCUUUUGCCUGUGCCGUUGCUGGCAGCUGAGUCAGAACUUCUGAGGAGAGCGUCUGUUCUUGACUGACUUUGCAGAUCUCUGAAAACAGACCUGUUGCUUCAAUCAA
This 222-nucleotide long non-coding RNA is filed under the name Mus spicilegus (steppe mouse). RNAcentral's name for it is "lncRNA (ENSMSIG00000008795.1)". Lineage: Eukaryota; Metazoa; Chordata; Mammalia; Rodentia; Muridae. The record is from RNAcentral.